Molecule: non-coding RNA, 2521 nt
Organism: Heterocephalus glaber (naked mole-rat)
Lineage: Eukaryota; Metazoa; Chordata; Mammalia; Rodentia; Bathyergidae
Source: RefSeq, a predicted model, not a curated record
GGGCGGGGACUGGCGCCGUUGCUCCCCACCCCAGAGCCCACUUGGACCCCCGGCGACGCCAGCCCUGCCGGCUUCCUGCUCGGCUUUGCUCCAGAGCUCCUCCAUGAUCCUAAUUCUCUUGGGGCCUUCUCUCUUGACCCUCUCUGGGAUGGACAGAGCCCCAACAAGUACUUGACCAAGUACUGAGAGAGAGCAGGCAAAGAGUCUAACAUGGUGCUGGCAUGCAGCAAUCUCCCUAGAAAUGCGAGCCACGACUAUGUUGGCAGAAUGAUUCAUUCUGAGGACAGCUUUGUUACAUUGGAUCCCUGGCUGCUGGUGUGGGAGCCUGUUGUGGAUGGAGGUGUCUCCUGAGUACACUCCGUGGUGACUGUGCAGGUCCCGGGGCCACAGAACAUUGCUGAGGUUUGGCAAUGAUCCAGGCAUGACCCUGCUGAGGAGGCAGAAUGCCAGGGAAAGGAGUCUGGAGUCUGGGCCAAAGCCAGGGAGCGAGCUGGACUCAGAGGCUCUGCUGGAGGCGUCGCUCUGACAAAGGCCAGUGCUGGGUGCAGCUCCAGCACUGGAGAGAGAGCAGGUGGACAAAGGGAGCCUCAGCUGGUGGGACCUGGAGGCCAAAGAGGCAAAGCCAACAAAAGCCACCCUGAGAAGGAACUCCUGGGAUGAUUUCCACCAUGCUGGCCUUCAAGGCCAUGUCCCAGUUCUGUGCUGAGCAGGACAGGGCCUGAGAAAGGCCCAGAGUACCCACAUGCCCCUUGGCUGGACAAGCAUCACCGUUAACCUCAGCCAUGCUCCGGCCCCAAGCAGCACCCGCUUCUCCCGGAGAGUGGACAGGCUGCAGGAACCACUGCCUCAGCCUUAGCAGUACCCGAGUGUCUCCUAUCCAGGACCUGGCUAUCCCUCCCUGCCUGGGCCUCUGCCUUGCUGCCCUGCAAGUGUCCCGUGAGUGUGACCAUUGAUAACCUCCCCCAUCCUUCCCGGUGGCCUUUGAUGCUAUGCUGACCCCUUAUGCCACCACCAUGGUCCUCAUGUCUGGCCACUCUGUAUUUCCCCACUACUUGGUGUUCAGUUUCUCUCAGUACUAUUUCAGGGUUCUGAGUGAGUCCCAACACCUCACUUCAGAGGAACUGCUGAGGCCUCCCGUGGGAGGCUCUGUGUGGAUCUGGCGGGGCUGGGUGGUCAGUAGUGGAGGUGUCAGAGGAAGGGCUCCCUGCCUGAGACCUGCUGGCUAGCUCUGUCCUCCCAGACAGGGGCCUUUGCUGUGGAGAUGGCUCUGGGCCCAUUGCAAGGUGAUUGCUCCUCCUUUGCCUUCGAGAGCCACUGGGACCCUGGAGGCAGAAAUGAGUCCACAGUCAGCCCCCAGCAAUUCGUCAGAAUCACCCCGUAUGCUUCCUAUCAGCGGAUGGCGCUAGCAGCUUCUGCUUCAGGUAAGCUGACCUUGGCUAUGACCUAUAACCUUGGCUGUGUCUCCCCAGAUUGUGUGUGUGUGCUGGGGGGAGGGUGCUCUGCGAUUUUUGGCUCCCCGUAUGUCCAAGAAAAGCCACCGAUUUUCACUUCCUCCAGCCUUUUCUCCUUGUAAGGUGGGAGGGAUGACUUCCAAGCCCACCAUGUGUCAGCUGAAAGCCACAAGCCUGGAGAUGUCUCAUUGACUGUCUCCUGGAUUUAGUUCUGAGCAUUGGAUGUGUUUUGGUCUUGAUGUGAUUAUGAACCGUAUCUGUUUGUUGCUUUGUUUGAUGUAGUAUUGGGGAUUGAAUCCAGGGCCUUCAGAUUGAGCUACAUCCCCCCUACAUCUCUUUCAAUGUGUUCCAUUUUAAGACUAAGUCUUGAAAAGUCCCGAACUUGCCCAGGUAGUGUAUCUGUGACCCUCCUGCCCAGCCCCCAGUGGUGGGCCCACAGUGGUACGCCACCACACCCAGCUCGUAUCUUUUAAAAAUAAUUUUAUUUUCUUUUGGUUUUUCUCCUUGGCCUUGGUCACCACCCACCAAGCACAUUCAUUUCUUUGUGUGCUUUCUGUCUUGUCCCCUUCGAGACAGUAGGAUGGAGAAGUGAGGAGCCCACAGGUCACAGAGCAGCAGUCACUCGCCCGUAGCUGCCCGCUGAAUGAAGGCAGAGUGGCGGUCAGAUUCCAAGGCCACACUCAGCCUUCACCAACAAACAUUCCGAUCACCAGGCUCAGGGGUGUGGAUCCCACCAGGUGUCAUGAGAAUCCAAAUCAUUGGUGUCGGGGUUCCAGAGAGGACACGUCUGAGAAGUCAAAGGGUCUCCCUGUGAGCCUGUGCCAGGGCCACGGGCCUCAGCGCUUCCUGUUGUGCAGGCAGGCACUGGGAAUCCCGGACCAGAGCUGGCAAUCAGCAGGGUUCAGUGUGGUUUGCAGCUUUGACUUUGAGUGUUAACCUUAGCCUGGGAAAAUUGCUUAACUUCUUUGAGCCUUUGUUUCCUCAUCUGGAAGGUGGUGGUUACCACAUGGGCCUCGUAGGGGUUCGGUGUAAAGGAAAGGAAAUGAUGGAGACAGUGCUCAGCCUUGGGC